RNAcentral lists this ribosomal RNA (484 nucleotides) under uncultured bacterium. Its description in RNAcentral is "partial 16S ribosomal RNA". It matches the Rfam family "Bacterial small subunit ribosomal RNA", at positions 30 to 507 of the family's 1533-position model. The record is from RNAcentral.
AUUGAACGCUGGCGGCAUGCUUUACACAUGCAAGUCGAACGGUAACAGGGUGCUUGCACCGCUGACGAGUGGCGAACGGGUGAGUAAUGCAUCGGAAUGUACCGUGUCAUGGGGGAUAGCUCGGCGAAAGCCGGAUUAAUACCGCAUACGCCCUGAGGGGGAAAGUGGGGGACCGAAAGGCCUCACGUUAUACGAGCAGCCGAUGUCUGAUUAGCUAGUUGGUGAGGUAAAGGCUCACCAAGGCGUCGAUCAGUAGCGGGUCUGAGAGGAUGAUCCGCCACACUGGGACUGAGACACGGCCCAGACUCCUACGGGAGGCAGCAGUGGGGAAUUUUGGACAAUGGGCGCAAGCCUGAUCCAGCCAUGCCGCGUGUCUGAAGAAGGCCUUCGGGUUGUAAAGGACUUUUGUCCGGGAGCAAAUCCUAGUGGUUAAUAACCGCUGGGUCUGAGAGUACCGGAAGAAUAAGCACCGGCUAACUACGUG